UACAGAGGGUGCAAGCGUUAAUCGAAAUUACUGGGCGUAAAGGGUGCGUAGGUGGUUUGAUAAGUUAGAUGUGAAAGUCCUGGGCUCAACCUGGGAAUGGCGCGCGAAACGGGGGGGCUUGAGUUCGGGAGAGGAGCGUGGAAUUCCCAGUGUAGAGGUGAAAUUCGUAGAUAUUGGGAAGAACACCGGUGGCGAAGGCGGCGCUCUGGACCGAGACUGACGCUGAGGCGCGAAAGCGUGGGGAGCAAACAGG
Molecule: ribosomal RNA, 253 nt
Filed under: uncultured bacterium
Lineage: Bacteria
Description: partial 16S ribosomal RNA
Rfam family: Bacterial small subunit ribosomal RNA
Source: RNAcentral